RNAcentral lists this ribosomal RNA (496 nucleotides) under uncultured bacterium. Its description in RNAcentral is "partial 16S ribosomal RNA". It matches the Rfam family "Bacterial small subunit ribosomal RNA", at positions 899 to 1397 of the family's 1533-position model. The record is from RNAcentral.
ACUCAAAUGAAUUGACGGGGGCCCGCACAAGCGGUGGAGCAUGUGGUUUAAUUCGACGCAACGCGCAGAACCUUACCAGGCCUUGACAUCCCGUGCUAAGCCCAGAGAUGGGUGGUCCCCGCAAGGGGCGCGGAGACAGGUGCUGCAUGGCUGUCGUCAGCUCGUGUCGUGAGAUGUUGGGUUAAGUCCCGCAACGAGCGCAACCCUCGCCUUUAGUUGCCAUCAUUUAGUUGGGCACUCUAAAGGGACCGCCGGCGACAAGCCGGAGGAAGGUGGGGAUGACGUCAAGUCCUCAUGGCCCUUACGGCCUGGGCUACACACGUGCUACAAUGGCGGUGACAGUGGGCAGCGACCACGCGAGUGGAUGCGAAUCCCAAAAAACCGUCCCAGUUCAGAUUGCACUCUGCAACUCGGGUGCAUGAAGGUGGAAUCGCUAGUAAUCGCAGAACAGCAGGCUGCGGUGAAUACGUUCCCGGGCCUUGUACACACCGCCCGU